Molecule: long non-coding RNA, 253 nt
Filed under: Nicotiana benthamiana
Lineage: Eukaryota; Viridiplantae; Streptophyta; Magnoliopsida; Solanales; Solanaceae
Description: long non-coding RNA (NBEN_LNC008540)
Source: RNAcentral
GCUCGUAUGGAAAUUGUGGAGGCCUAAGCUUGUCAAGUACAUAUUGAGUGGCAGAAAUGAUACUAACAUGAAUCUGCCUGGUUGUGCAGAGUUUUAAGUUUACAAGGUGUAACUUAGGCAGCAGCAAGUUUUAAGUUUACAAGGUGUAACUGAGGCAGCAACAACAGAUGGAUUAAAAGUAGUGUUAGCUGGUUCUAAUAUCCCUGAAGGUGCACAGUUUUUCAACAAGUCUGGGAUUAUAAAAAAUGUUUCU